Cannabis sativa is the source of this 435-nucleotide long non-coding RNA. RefSeq lists it as uncharacterized. The record is from RefSeq and is a predicted model, not a curated record. NCBI's taxonomy places the organism in Eukaryota, Viridiplantae, Streptophyta, Magnoliopsida, Rosales, Cannabaceae. The transcript is spliced from 2 exons.
GCUCUCUUCACGAACCCACACGAACCAGACCAACGUACCCACGGCGUCGACCACGAAACCAACAAACCCACGCCGCCGUCGACCACCCACGAACCCAACCCCACGAACCAAACCCACGAACCCAAUCGACGAACCGAGGAGAAACUGCCGUCACCACCACGAGGAGAAACUGCCGUCGCCACCACGAGGAGAAACCGCCGUCACCACCCACGAGCAAAAACCGUCGCCUACACCACGAAAUUCAGUCAAAGAUGGCUCCCAGACUCAUUAUUCCAGCACCCGAGCAUUUCACUGGCCGCGUCACAUAUAGGGGCACUGGAAUUUUUGCAAAAAUUAAAGCUCGGUUUGAGGAGUUCAACCUUAAUAACACGGCGAAGGAAAGCCGUUUCGGGAGCUUCUGGAAUGCCGUACCACUGACAUUCUCCUCGGUGUUAU